AUACUACUCCCUCCGUCCGGAAAUACUUGUCAUUGAAAUGGAUGUAUCUAGAUGUAUUUUAGUUGUAGAUGCAUCCAUUUUCAUCCAUUUUAAUGUCAAGUAUUUCCGGACGGAGGGAGUACAAG
This is a non-coding RNA of Triticum aestivum (bread wheat), 125 nucleotides long. Lineage: Eukaryota; Viridiplantae; Streptophyta; Magnoliopsida; Poales; Poaceae. The record is from Rfam.